CACAUCAAACCAGUACUACUGAAUAUCAAUACAGACUUUUGUUCCAGCCCAGCACUAACUCUGUACUUGCAAAUUCAACAUAUUACAAGAGGAAAAGUGAAGCAGUCAGUGUGAGGAGGGAAUCAGGGCUGGGAGGCUGAAUCUAUGGAUACUGGGUGGCUGAAACUAUGGAUACUGGGAGGCUGAAACUAUAGUUGCUGGGUGGUUGGGAGGCUGAAACUAUAGUUGCUGGGUGGUUGGGAGGCUGAAACUAUAGUUGCUGGGUGGUUGGGAGGCUGAAACUAUGGAUGCUUGGUGGUUGGGAGGAUGAAACUAGGGAUGCUGGGUGGUUGGGAGGCUGAAACUAUGGAUGCUGGGUGAUUGGGAGGAUGAAACUAUGGUUGCUGGGUGGUUGGGAGGCUGAAACUAUAGUUGCUGGGUGGUUGGGAGGAUGAAACUAUGGAUGCUGGGUGGUUGGGAGGAUGAAACUAUGGAUGCUGGGUGGUUGGGAGGAUGAAACUAUGGAUGCUGGGUGGUUGGGAGGCUGAAACUAUGGAUGCUGGGUGGUUGGGAGGCUGAAACUAUGGAUGCUGGGUGGUUGGGAGGAUGAAACUAUGGAUGCUGGGUGGAUGAAACUAUGGAUACUGGGUGGCUGGGAGGUAUAAACUAUGGAUGAUGGGAGGCUAGGAGGCAGAAACUAUGCAUACUGGGCUGUUGGGAGGCAGAAACUAUGUAUACUGGGUGGCUGGGAAGCUAAAACAAUGGAUCCCUGGAGGCUGAAACGAUGUAUUCUGGGUUGCUGAGAGGCUGAAACUAUGUAUACUGGGUGGCUGGGAUGUUGAAACUAGGGUUGCUGGGAGGCUGAGAGAGAGGCUGAAACUAUGUAUACUGGGUGGCUGGGAUGUUGAAACUAGGGUUGAUGGGAGGCUGAGAGAGAGGCUGAAACUAUGUAUACUGGGUGGCUGGGAUGUUGAAACUAGGGUUGCUGGGAGGCUGAGAGAGAGGCUGAAACUAUGUAUACUGCGUGGCUGUGAUGCUGAAACUAUGGAUGCUGGGUGGCUGUGAUGUUGAAACUAUGGAUGCUGGGUGGCUGGGAGGGUGAAAUGGUGGAUACUGGGAAGCUGAAAGUAUGGAUACUGGGUGGCUGGGAGGCUGAGACUAUGGAUACGAGUGGCUGGGAGGCUGAAACUAUGGAUACUGGGUGGCUGGGAGGCUGAAACUAUGGAUACGAGUGGCUGGGAGGCUGAAACUAUGGAUACUGGGUGGCUGGGAGGCUGAAACUAUGGAUACUGGGUGGCUGGGAGGCUGAAACUAUGGAUACUGGGUGGCUGGGAGGCUGAAAGUAUGGAUACUGGGUGGCUGGGAGGCUGAAACUAUGGAUACUGGGUGGCUGGGAGGCUGAAAGUAUGGAUACUGGGUGGCUGGGAGGCUGAAACUAUGGAUACGAGUGGCUGGGAGGCUGAAACUAUGGAUACUGGGUGGCUGGGAGGCUGAAACUAUGGAUACGAGUGGCUGGGAGGCUGAAACUAUGGAUACUGGGUGGCUGGGAGGCUGAAACUAUGGAUACUGGGUGGCUGGGAGGCUGAAACUAUGGAUACUGGGUGGCUGGGAGGCUGAAACUAUGGAUACGAGUGGCUGGGAGGCUUAAACUAUGGAUACGAGUGGCUGGGCGGUUGAAACUAUGGAUACGAGUGGCUGGGAGGUUGAAACUAUGGAUACGAGUGGCUGGGAGGUUGAAACUAUGGAUACGAGUGGCUGGGAGGUUGAAACUAUGGAUACGAGUGGCUGGGAGGUUGAAACUAUGGAUACGAGUGGCUGGGAGGUUGAAACUAUGGAUACGAGUGGCUGGGAGGCUUAAACUAUGGAUACGAGUGGCUGGGAGGUUGAAACUAUGGAUACGAGUGGCUGGGAGGUUGAAACUAUGGAUACGAGUGGCUGGGAGGUUGAAACUAUGGAUACGAGUGGCUGGGAGGUUGAAACUAUGGAUACGAGUGGCUGGGAGGUUGAAACUAUGGAUACGAGUGGCUGGGAGGCUUAAACUAUGGAUACGAGUGGCUGGGAGGUUGAAACUAUGGAUACGAGUGGCUGGGCGGUUGAAACUAUGGAUGCUGCUUGUUUGGAAGUCUUAUUAAACCUACUCUAGGAGGCUGUGAGGCUGAAAGUAACUCUGGGUGGCUAGGAGGCUGAAAGUAACUCUGGGUGGCUAGGAGGCUGAAAGUAACUCUGGGUGGCUAGGAGGCUGAAAUGGAUUUAUUUAUCUGUUAUUUUACCAGGUAAGUUGACUGAGAACACGUUCUCAUUUGCAGCAAAGACCUGGGGAAUAGUUACAGGGGAGAGGAGGGGGAUGAAUGAGCCAAUCGUAAACUGGGGAUUAUUAGGUGACCAUGAUGGUUUGAGGGCCAGAUUGGGAAUUUAGCCAGGACACCAGGGUUAACACCCCUACUCUUACGAUAAGUGCCAUGAGAUCUUUAAUGACCUCAGAGAGUCAGGACACCCGUUUAACGUCUCAUCCGAAAGACAGCACCCAACACAGGGCAGUGUCCUGGGGCAUUGGGAUAUUUUUUUUUUAGACCAGAGGAAAGAGUGCCUCCUACUGACCCUCCAACACCACUUCCAGCAGCAUCUGGUCUCCCAUCCAGGAACUGACCAAGACCAACCCUGCUUAGCUUCAGAAGCAAGCCAGCAGUGGUAUGCAGGGUGGUAUGCUGCUGAUGGAUGCUGGGUGGCUGGGAGGCUGAAGCUAACUAUGUUAUUAACCAGAAGUAAUUAUUCAGAGAACGCUGUGUUUAUGAGGUGUAUCAGAGAAGGAUUGUGUGUGUGUGUGUUUAUGGGCCCUAUAACCUUGGCAUAGGGUUUAAUGACAUGUUGUUCAUGCUGCUAUUGGUUAACGUUGGACUUCACCUCUCUACACAGCUCUUUUUCUAGGAUGGUAUCAGCAAAUUCAGGGGGGACUUGAAUCUAUCCAGAUCCAUGCGGUUGUUAGUCUUACACCCUAGCUGUGGGAAAUGUUAACACAGUAAUAUCAUAGUGAUAUAUCUCAUCUGAUGUGUGUAUGUGUGUGUGUGUGUGUGUGUGUGUGUGUGUGUGUGUGUGUGUGUGUGUGUGUGUGUGUGUGUGUGUGUGUGUGUGUGUGUGUGUGUGUGUGUGUGUGUGUGUGUGUGUGUGUGUGUGUGUGUGUGUGUGUG
Long non-coding RNA from Oncorhynchus keta (chum salmon), 3164 nucleotides. RefSeq lists it as uncharacterized. Lineage: Eukaryota; Metazoa; Chordata; Actinopteri; Salmoniformes; Salmonidae. The record is from RefSeq and is a predicted model, not a curated record. The transcript is spliced from 3 exons.